This 85-nucleotide transfer RNA is filed under the name Felis catus (domestic cat). It matches the Rfam family "tRNA". From Rfam's summary of the family: Transfer RNA (tRNA) molecules are approximately 80 nucleotides in length. The record is from Rfam by way of RNAcentral. Lineage: Eukaryota; Metazoa; Chordata; Mammalia; Carnivora; Felidae.
GCCUGGGUGGCUCAGUCGGUUGAGCAUCCGACUUCAGCUCAGGUCAUGAUCUCAAAGUUCGUGGGUUUGAGCCCCGCAUCGGGCU